RNAcentral lists this transfer RNA (74 nucleotides) under Pteropus alecto (black flying fox). It matches the Rfam family "tRNA". Rfam says of the family: Transfer RNA (tRNA) molecules are approximately 80 nucleotides in length. The record is from Rfam by way of RNAcentral. Lineage: Eukaryota; Metazoa; Chordata; Mammalia; Chiroptera; Pteropodidae.
GGCUCCACAGUGUAGUGGUUAGCACGUCUACUUUACAUGCAGAAGGCCCUGGGAUCGCGCCCUAGAUAGAGCCA